This is a long non-coding RNA of Mercenaria mercenaria, 1898 nucleotides long. RefSeq lists it as uncharacterized. NCBI's taxonomy places the organism in Eukaryota, Metazoa, Mollusca, Bivalvia, Venerida, Veneridae. The record is from RefSeq and is a predicted model, not a curated record. The transcript has 3 exons.
UGGAUCAGAAAGCGUUUGGCCUUACAGAAACAGCAUUCCUGCCUACAGUAAAACAUGGGGCAUACAGAAUAAGAAUUUCGGCUAUCUGUCGUAUCCGGGGGAAAUCUACUCCGAAUCCCAGCGUCGGACAUACUCUAAACAGAAAAGCAACAGUCGAGAAAGAAGUUUUAGGCUAGGCAGGCAUGACAUGGUUUGCAGGACGGAUUCAUACAGACAAGCCCAUGAGAUCGAGGCUUAAAAAUAUGUGCCGUUGAACAAUAGACUUUUCCGAACUGCCGAUGACUAUUUAUGAGGAAUUCCUGAUGUGAAAUGAGGAAGAAGAAGAAGAACACUGUUUUAACUUUUGUGAAAAAGUAGUUCUAACGUAAACAUAAUCACGAAUAAUUUCAUAAACAUAGACAUACUUUUAUAUACAUUUGCUUACACGUUAUUAUACUGUAUUGUAUUGUAUCUGCCAUUUUAUAAAAUUUUGCGACGAUUUUUAUGGGAAAUCUUGAACUUGUAUGAUUUUUUAAGCAGAAAUUUUUAUAACGGAGAAAUCGUCAGAAAUCUUUAAAAAGUGAAUCAAUAUUGAGAACAGUCACGGACAGUGAAAGCGUGUGCACAUUUAACAGUUUCAUGUUUUGCCACUAACCGUUAUAUAGUAUCGCACCACUACGUUCCAUUUUUUGGUUAAUUUUGUUCAUAUUGAUUGUAUAUAGUAUAUUUUGUCUUUUGUGUGUGAACAUCUCUGUAUUAUUAUAUACGUUAAACGUUGUCUAUUUUUGUGUGAACAUCUCUGUCUUAUUAUAUACAUUAUACUUUGUCUUUUGUGUGAACAUAUCUGUCUUAUUAUGCAAGUUAUACUUUGUCUAUCUUUAUGUGUACAUCUCUUUCUUAUAAUGUACGUUAUACUUUGUCUAUUUUUGUGUAAACAUCUCUGUCUUAUAAUGUACGUUAUACUUUGUCUAUUUUUGUGUGUACAUAUCUGUCUUAUUAUAUACGUUAUACUUUGUCUAUUUUGCGUGUACAUAUCUGUCUUAUUAUAUACGUCACACCUUGUCUAUUUUUGUGUUUACAUAUCUGUCCUAUUAUAUACUUUUCGUCUAUUUUUGUUUGUACAUAUCUGUCUUAUUAUAUACGCUAAACUUUAUAUUUUUGUGUAAAGAUAUCUUUCUUAUACAUAUAAAUAUAUACCUUUCGUUUGAGGUUCGUUUAAAAAGUGCUGCGUCAUUUGAACGCUUCUGUUACGCUUUGAUUUCUCUCCUGGCUCUAUAUGAUCAUUGAAAAAAUUUAUUUAUCCCCUCUCUUCAUAAAUACAGAAAGAGGAAGGCAACUGACGCAAUAUGUUUUCAGGAAACAAGAAUAUGAUAGUUAAAUUGUUUUAUUUAAUGUAAUGUCAAAAGGUUACUAAACUAUAAUGAGACUUUGUCGUCUCAUUAACUUACUGCUUCAAACAGUGAGAAUAUCAAAUAAAAUUUCUACUCACACAUAUCUACAUGACACUUGAACGCAAAAUAAUGUUAAUUUAAACUAGAUAGUGGAUUUUGUGGAAAGUAUGUUUCAUUCAAGACAAUGUUAUAACAUAUUUGCACUCAAUUUUCAAAAUGCAAAUAAUUUACAUAUAAAAUCAAAUUCACUUUCACGCCCGAAAAUCGAAUAUUGUGGCUGAUAUUUCGAUUUUACAUUGAACACACACAAAUAUCUUCAGGAUAUUUAUCCUAAACGUUCUGAACCUCUAUAAGCGCUGUAAGACAAAAUCACAAAAUAAAAUCACAUAUCAUUAUUUUUAUUUAUUCCUAACGCUAGUCGUACUUUUUUGAAAUGCAGACAAUAAGGAAAUAUUGCUUUAAGCUUGCUUUUUUGUAUAAUGUAUUUUAGAAGUGUAACAAAUGUGUAAACAGAUUUUGCUCUACUGG